ACUGGGUUGCUGAUCCAGCUAUGGAGAAAGCCGCAGUUUAUGCCAAUGGAAGAGGCACAUCUGGGGAGAAGAAUGUGACUCUCCUCCUCUCACCCACUUCUUUGCCCAGUAGAUCUGCAGGACACAGCCUCGUUAACUCUGAAGUUUAAGUUUAACCCAAAGCUGGGCAUUGAUAAUCCUGUCCUCUCCCUGGCCGAAGACCACAACCCCUAUGAUCCCUGGAGCCUGGAGCGGCCUCGCUUCUGUUUACUGAGCAAAGAGGAGGGCAAGAGUUUUGGCUUCCACCUGCAGCAGGAGCUGGGCAGGGCUGGGCAUGUGGUGUGCAGGGUGGACCCAGGCACCUCUGCCCAGCGCCAGGGUCUUCAGGAAGGAGACAGGAUCCUGGCGGUGAACAACGAUGUUGUGGAACACGAAGACUAUGCGGUGGUGGUACGCCGCAUCCGGGCCAGCAGCCCUCGUGUGUUGCUGACAGUAUUGGCACGGCAUGCACAUGAUGUGGCCCGAGCUCAGCUGGGAGAAGAUGCCCACCUCUGUCCCACCCUAGGCCCAGGGGUCCGGCCCCGGCUGUGCCACAUAGUGAAAGAUGAGGGUGGUUUUGGCUUCAGUGUCACCCAUGGCAAUCAGGGUCUUUUCUGGUUGGUGCUAAGUACCGGAGGAGCAGCUGAGCGGGCAGGGGUGCCCCCCGGGGCCCGGCUGCUGGAAGUGAAUGGGGUCAGUGUGGAGAAGUUCACUCACAACCAACUCACCAGGAAGCUUUGGCAGAGUGGACAGCAGGUGACCUUGCUGGUGGCAGGGCCAGAGGUGGAGGAACAGUGUCGCCAGCUGGGAUUGCCCCUGGCUGCACCCCUGGCAGAGGGCUGGGCACUGCCCACCAAGCCCCGCUGUCUGCACCUAGAGAAAGGGCCCCAGGGUUUUGGGUUCCUGCUCCGGGAGGAAAAGGGCCUUGACGGUCGCCCUGGUGAGUGGGAGCCCUGGGGGUGGUGGGGGAAGGUGGGCCUUGAGGUGGGUACACAAGUGUAUAUACACCUUUCAGUGCACCGAAGAGGUGUCCCUGUCUGAGCUCUGGCCCUGGGCCACCUCUUCCUGUUCACUCUGGGGUCAGUCCCCUGGUGUGCACACAGUGGCCUAGGAUAGUUGGAGAGGAGCAGUGAGGAUGUCUAUGCCCCAGGACAGUUCCUGUGGGAGGUGGACCCGGGACUGCCAGCCAAGAAGGCUGGGAUGCAGGCUGGGGACCGGCUGGUGGCUGUGGCUGGGGAGAGCGUGGAGGGGCUGGGCCACGAGGAGACAGUGUCCAGGAUCCAGGCGCAGGGCUCCUGUGUCUCCCUCACUGUCGUCGACCCUGAGGCUGACCGCUUCUUUAGCAUGGUUCGCCUAUCCCCACUCCUCUUCUCGGAGAACACAGAGGCUCCCGCCUCGCCCCAGGGCAGCAGCUCAACCUCACUGGUUGAGACAGAGAACCCUUCACUUGAAGACACAAGCGUGCCUUCUGUCCCUCUUGGCUCCCGACAGUGCUUCCUGUACCCUGGGCCUGGUGGCAGCUAUGGCUUCCGACUCAGUUGUGUGGCCAGUGGGCCUCGUCUCUUUAUCUCCCAGGUGACUCCAGGAGGCUCAGCUGCCCGGGCUGGGUUGCAAGUGGGAGAUGUGAUUCUGGAAGUGAACGGGUAUCCUGUUGGGGGACAGAAUGACCUGGACAGGCUUCAGCAGCUGCCUGAGGCUGAGCCACCCCUCUGCCUGAAGCUGGCAGUCAGGUCUCUGUGGGGCUUGGAAGCCUGGAUUCCCCCUGGGGCUGCAGAGGACUGGGCUCUGGCCUCGGAUCAGCUGUAGAGCACCCCUGCUUGGUACAGACAUACUCAGGGGCUACCGUGUCUUCACUCUCCAGCCCGAGGUGGUGAAGGCAGGAUGCUCUCUCUAAGCCAGACCAGAGGGACUCAGACACCACCGAUCACAGGCUGGCCCAGGUGCUCCCUCCCUUCCCGCAGGCCCAACUCCCAGCAGAGGGUGUGGUUGGAGUCCCUGAAGGAGUCUGAGGCUCCAGAGGAUGUCAUAUGGGAGCUUUGGAGAACUGUGUCCCAAGGAUGAAGGUGUGGCUGUGGGUCUGGCUAGGAUUGAAGCCAUCUGGACCUUUUCUAGAUAUGACUCCAGGACCCUUGAGUGUAAUGCAAAAAUUUGGAGCCCAGCUAUGCCUGCCCUCUGUGGGUGCCUUAGCAUUGCGGGAGGGUGGUGCUUGGUCACCGUUGCAUUUGUUAUAGAAAUGGCCGUUCCCCAUAAAUCUGACUGCCUGUGUUUGUGUUGGUGGGGGUAAGGGGCAGUGGCGUGAAGGGACAAAAAGGGCCUCAGGCUCAAGGGGUGGGAUGCGGCUCCUGCAGGAGAGAGGUUGAGACCUGGUCAAAUUUCUUUCCUAUCACUGAAUCUCAGGGAUAAUGGGCCAACCCAGAACUGAGAUGUCUGCAUGAGAGCCACUCCUAAAAAUAAACAACAACAACAACAAAAAAAAAAAAAAAAAGAAGAAAACUAAA
RNAcentral lists this small RNA (2516 nucleotides) under Pongo abelii (Sumatran orangutan). Its description in RNAcentral is "retained intron". Lineage: Eukaryota; Metazoa; Chordata; Mammalia; Primates; Hominidae. The record is from RNAcentral.